CUGUUGUUCUGAGUGGCUGUGA
This 22-nucleotide microRNA is filed under the name Oreochromis niloticus (Nile tilapia). Its description in RNAcentral is "oni-miR-10771". The record is from miRBase by way of RNAcentral. Lineage: Eukaryota; Metazoa; Chordata; Actinopteri; Cichliformes; Cichlidae.